GACGAACGCUGGCGGCGUGCCUAACACAUGCAAGUCGAGCGCGAAAGUCCCUUCGGGGGCGAGUAGAGCGGCGGACGGGUGAGUAAUACAUGGAUAAUCUGCCCUCGAGAUCGGGAUAACCCUGCGAAAGUGGGGCUAAUACCGAAUAAGACCACACAACACAAGUUGUGUGGUAAAAGGUGGCUUGAAUUUAUUCUGGCUAUCACUUGAGGAUGAGUCCAUGGCCUAUCAGCUUGUUGGUGGGGUAAUGGCCUACCAAGGCAACGAUGGGUAGCCGGCCUGAGAGGGUGUACGGCCACACUGGGACUGAGACACGGCCCAGACUCCUACGGGGGGCAGCAGUAGGGAAUCUUCGGCAAUGGGCGGAAGCCUGACCGAGCGACGCCGCGUGAGGGACGAAGGCCUUCGGGUUGUAAACCUCUGUCUGGGGGACGAGGUAAGGACGGUACCCCGGAGGAAGCCCCGGCUAACUACGUG
This 477-nucleotide ribosomal RNA is filed under the name uncultured bacterium. RNAcentral describes it as "bacterial SSU rRNA". It matches the Rfam family "Bacterial small subunit ribosomal RNA", at positions 28 to 507 of the family's 1533-position model. The record is from RNAcentral.